GUUGGCGGGGCAACGGCCCACCAAGGCGACGAUCGGUAGCCGGCCUGAGAGGGUGAUCGGCCACAUUGGGACUGAGAUACGGCCCAGACUCCUACGGGAGGCAGCAGUAGGGAAUAUUGCACAAUGGGGGAAACCCUGAUGCAGCAACGCCACGUGUGGGAAGAAGCAUUUCGGUGUGUAAACCACUGUCAUGAGGGAAUAAGGCCCUUAUUCGUAAGGGAUUGAAUGUACCUUGAGAGGAAGCACCGGCAAACUCGUGCCAGCAGCCGCGGUAAUACGAGGGGUGCAAGCGUUGUUCGGAAUUACUGGGCGUAAAGGGAGCGUAGGCGCAGAUUCAAGCGGAUUGUACAAUCCCGGGGCCCAACCCCGGCUCUGCAGUCCGAACUGGAUCUCUUGGAUAGUUCAGGGGCAGGCGGAAUUCCUGGUG
This 427-nucleotide ribosomal RNA is filed under the name uncultured Fibrobacter sp. Its description in RNAcentral is "bacterial SSU rRNA". It matches the Rfam family "Bacterial small subunit ribosomal RNA", at positions 248 to 675 of the family's 1533-position model. Lineage: Bacteria; Pseudomonadati; Fibrobacterota; Fibrobacteria; Fibrobacterales; Fibrobacteraceae. The record is from RNAcentral.